Molecule: small nuclear RNA, 98 nt
Filed under: Otolemur garnettii (small-eared galago)
Lineage: Eukaryota; Metazoa; Chordata; Mammalia; Primates; Galagidae
Source: RNAcentral
GUGCUCACUUCAGCAGCACAUAUUGGAAUGAUACAGAGAAGAUUAGCAUGGCCCCUGUGCAAGGAUGACAUGCAAAUUUGUGAAUAUUCCAUAUUUUU